GUGUGUGUGUGUGGGAUGUGCACAGAGACAGUGUGUGUGUGUGUGUGGGAUGUGCGCAGUGACAGUGUGUGUUUUCUAUCUUCAGGUGUGCACAUUCUCGAGUGGAUUGUUGGUUGUCAGUGGAAUGAUGAGACCGGGGACACAGGAGGGAUUGAACGUUAUGAAUACGACGGGAAACACUUCCUCACUGAUGCCAUGAAAACCUGGAAUUUCAUUCCACCUGCACAGCUGCUGUUUAUCAGUGCAGUAAAAUGGAAUCCAGCUGUGCUUGAGAAUGACAAGCAGUACCAGAUCCAGAUCUGCAUUGAGUCACUGAAGAAGUAUGUGAGCUACAAGAGCACUCUGGACAGCACAGUUGCUCCUGAGGUCUCUCUGCUGCAGAAGGACUCCUCCUCUCCUGUUGUUACCUGUCAUUUGACCGGAUUCUACCCCCGUGACAUCAUGGUAACCUGGCAGAGAAACGGAGAGGACCUGGAUGUGGACGUAGAGCUGGGGGAGAUGGUGCGCAACGAGGACGGAACUUUCCAGACCAGAUCUCACCUGAGAGUGAAGCCUGAGGACUGGAAGAGCCAGAAUUACACCUGUACUGUAAAGCACAAGAGCCUGAAACAGGAGAUCGUUCUGCCUGUCAGAGAGGUGAACAUCAAGAGGAACAGCGAUAUCAAGACCUCUCACUCUCUGAAGUACAUCUACACUGUUGUCACUGGGGAUACUGACUCCCCAGUGUUCAUCAUCACGGGUUUGGUGAAUGAUGAGCAGUUUGUGCACUAUGACAGCAACAUCAGGAGGAUGAUCCCCCAGUCUGAGUGGAGGGAAAUAUCAGUGGACAAGCAGUACUGGGACAAACAGACUCAGAAAGCGCUCUAUGCACAUCAGAUCUUGAAAGACAAUAUUGGAAUUGCAAUGUAGCAUUUCAGGUCAACUCAGGGUAAGCACAGACACACACUCAUUAAAAUAUACAUAUGGAUAUAUAUGCCUGCUCACAAAUUCACAGACUCCUUAACACAUGCAAACAGACACAUGCAUACAGUACACACACACACACACACACACACAAAAACAUGUGUAUACACACAUACUGACCCCAUAGCUUGAUGUCUGAAAGUAUAUUGUUGUAUAAGGUAAUUAGCUGUGUAAUAAAUGGGGUAAUUCCCUUCAAGGUGGUCAGAGCUUAACGCUGUAGUCUCAAUGGGAUCAGAGAUUAAUACUGUAGUCUCAGUGGGAUCAGAGAUUAAUGCUGUAGUCUCAGUGGGAUCAGAGCUUAAUGCUGUAGUAUCAGUGGAAUCAGACUAUAGUGCUGUAG
RNA transcript from Anguilla rostrata (American eel), 1303 nucleotides. It is a transcript of the gene named H-2 class I histocompatibility antigen, Q7 alpha chain-like, with no coding region annotated. The transcript is spliced from 4 exons. NCBI's taxonomy places the organism in Eukaryota, Metazoa, Chordata, Actinopteri, Anguilliformes, Anguillidae. The record is from RefSeq and is a predicted model, not a curated record.